This 831-nucleotide ribosomal RNA is filed under the name Triticum aestivum (bread wheat). RNAcentral's name for it is "partial small subunit ribosomal RNA". Lineage: Eukaryota; Viridiplantae; Streptophyta; Magnoliopsida; Poales; Poaceae. The record is from RNAcentral.
AUGAUCGCCUUCCGUGAUGCUUUGGAACUGUGUGGUCUAUGUGAUCUUGGCUUCUCAGAGAUUCCCUAUACUUUUGAUAAUCGGCGGGCUGGAAGUGCCAACGUCAAAGUCCGGCUUGACCGGGCUGUGGCAAAUAAUACUUGGCGGGAUCUCUUCACAGAUGCUAACAUCAAGCACCUCGUUGCGCCGAGCUCGGAUCAUAUUCCGAUCCUCCUGAAGUGCUCCACGGAACCGGACCGGCCUGCUGUGGUUGGCUGAAACCGGCAGUAUGAAGUAAUGUGGGAGCGGGACGCCGCCCUCCCGGAAGUGAUAAAAAAUGCAUGGGCUGAGAUCGGUGCACUAGGUGACCUGGGCGACGUGGCUGCUAGUCUUGGAAAGGUCAUGCAUACGCUCCAUGGAUGGAGUAAGAGAAAGUUUGGUAAUGUAAUAAAGGAAAUUAACAAAUCUCGCUCUCUCUUGGAGGAAUUAAUGCUUAUGAACGCAGAUCAGCGGGAGAUACGUGAAGCAAAUGAUCGUUUGAACGAGCUCCUCUAUAGGGAGGAGAUGCUCUGGAUGCAGCGUUCUAGAGUCGCGUGGUUACGUGACGGCGACCGCAACACAGGAUUCUUCCACCGUCAGGCUGUUUGGCGGGCACGGAAGAACAGGAUAAAAGCUCUUGUGGAUGAUGAUGGAGUGGUGCAAAAGGACCAUGCAACAAUGGCGUCUAUGGUGAAUGAUUACUUCAGUACUCUUUUCACGGCUGAUACAUCGUUGCAAGCUGACCCUGUUACUAGGCUUAUACAGGGACGUGUUACUGCUAAUAUGAAUGAUGGACUGUGGGACGCGGAGUAA